GAAAGCACCUUUUUACAAUUAAAAUUAAUCAGAAAAUGUUAUGCAGAUACUUUCAUUUUUCAAUUUAUUUAUCUUCUUUAGAGUUCAUUUAUGAAAAAAAAAACUAUUUUACGAUAUGUAAAUAUUAUCUCAUAUUUCGAAUUUUAUUCAUGAUUUUUGAGUUUUUUGAGUUUUUCCAAUAUUCUCAACAGUUUGCAUCAAGCGUAUUACUUUUUGUAUUAUUAUUUUAAUUUUGGAAAUUUGAUGAACAUGACUUGCACCAGCUUCUGCUGCUGGUUGGACUGUUCAAUAACAAAUAUCUAUGCCCUGAUCACAUGGUUUCAUGUCAUUUCACACGGUUUUGGUUUGUUUACAUGUAUGGUUAUUGAACACAAAUGGAAUCAGUAAUGCUGAAAUCCGGAAUCAGUAUUCACAGUAAUGAAUCCAUUUGUUCUGGAAAAAGGUGAUCAGAAACACAUGGGCUAAUGAAUGAUCCAAAGUGUUUGCUGAAUGUCGUGACGUGACAAGCUGCAAUUGGGCCAGCAGGUGGCGCUGGUCAAUCACGAAACAAGUGAAAACAACUGCUGCCCCGCAGGAGUCGGAAUGUUCCAGGUUGUCGAACACCUACCAGUAAUAAUCGCCGAGUGUCCUCCGCCACCACUAAGUAUACGGACCUUUCCGCCCUGAAAUGCUGAGGCGCACGCCUGCUGGGGCACGAGCUGGUCGACCUCAUGUCCCAGUCCCAGCUGUCCGUAGCUGUUAGCGCCCUUCAAGACACAUGUCCGCGUUAACCAGCGCUUCACAGCCUCAAAACAGGACCAGCAUCAACCCAGUGAACUGACAGAGCUGUUGUGCUAUCGCUGGCUAAAGUGCUAAGUUGUGCUGCUACACAGCCUUCGUCUCUCAGUGUACGAAUUUCAAAGACAAUGUAACAGUGUCCACUUACUUUUAGCUCACUGAUGGAUGACAGCAGACCUGCCCCGUAAGCUCGCAGCUGCCCUUCCUGUUUGCAUAAGCCAAACUCCACUGUGAAGAAGUAGCACUGGACCAGAAAGAAAGGGGAGUCAUCAGAAGCACCAAGUGAAGCAAGGCCAAUCUCCUGAGAGAACUGAGCAAAGCUGGGCUCAGCCAAUAAUGGGACGUGACCCAGCAACUCGUG
Molecule: long non-coding RNA, 1138 nt
Organism: Synchiropus splendidus (mandarinfish)
Lineage: Eukaryota; Metazoa; Chordata; Actinopteri; Syngnathiformes; Callionymidae
Exons: 3
Source: RefSeq, a predicted model, not a curated record